Molecule: ribosomal RNA, 255 nt
Filed under: uncultured bacterium
Lineage: Bacteria
Description: partial 16S ribosomal RNA
Rfam family: Bacterial small subunit ribosomal RNA
Source: RNAcentral
UACGGGGGGGUGCGAGCGUUGUCCGGAAUCACUGGGCGUAAAGGGCGCGUAGGUGGCUUUGUAAGUUUGCGGUGAAAGCCCGGGGCUCAACCCCGGGUCUGCCGUGGAUACUGCAAGGCUUGAGUACUGUAGAGGCAGGUAGAAUAUCGGGUGUAGCGGUGGAAUGCGUAGAGAUCCGAUAGAAGACCGGUGGCGAAGGCGGCCUGCUGGGCAGUAACUGACACUGAGGCGCGACAGCGUGGGGGAGCAAACAGG